CUAGUUCCCUAGCUGUUAGGAAGCUUGUUGGUUAAGGUGUUUAUUUUCUAGCCUUUUAUUUAGAGACUGACUCCUUAGUUCAGUUAGCAAUUCAACAGCUUAGCAGCCUUUAACACUUAAGUUAAUUCGGUGUAUUUAACUAUUUAUUGACUUUUUGUUACAGUGAGUUUGUUUACCCGUUGACUCUAAAGUUCAGUUAGCUAAGCUAAAUAACUAGCUAGUUUAUUCAGCCGAGACUCCAACAUUUAGUCGGUUUAUUCAGUCAUUUACCUGUUCAGCCACUGACAGUUAAAUUCGGUCAGUUUAUCUAACCGUUGACUCUUGAGUUUAAUUUGGUUUAUUUAUUACUUGUUGACGCUUUAACUCACUGCACCUGUUUAGCCGUUGACAGUUCUGUUCGGUCAGUUUAUCUAACAGUUGACUUGUGAGUUCAAUUCGGUUUAUUUACUACUCAUUGACUUUUUAACUCACUGCACCUGUUUAGCCGUUGACAGUUCAGUUGGGUAAGCUUAUCUAUCGUACAGUUGACUUGUGAGUUUAAUUCGGUUUAUUUACUACUCAUUGACUGUUUAACUCACUGCAACGGUUUAGCUGCUGAAUGUUCAGGGAACUGAUAAGAACUGAAGAACAGUAACAGACCACUGGCACAUCAGAUCAGUCAUGGUGUGGAAAAAACACAACCUCACAACCUGCAAGACUGUCCAAGAAAAACACAGCUGUUGUGGAAACUGCUUCAGAGACAUCCUGAGAAACCUUGGAUGCGGCUCCCAUCUUUGCUGCAACCAUAACUACCACCUUUCUCUGGAAUGAGUUGCUGCCCAACCAGAACCGCUCCCAGCAGGCCCUCAGAAAACAGAGGCACGGGUGGAAUGGUGUGAAAGUUUCCAAUAAUGAUAACAGUGUCUAAAAUAACAAUGGUUUUCUGGAUUAUAGCAGUAUUGUUUGAGCACUAUAGAUUAAAACAAAAGCAGUUUUUGGUUUGAUUUUAAUUAUUUUUUACUAAUUGUUUAUUAAGAUAAGCUGAAGUAUCUUUUAAACAAUACAUAAACUUUUAAACAAUACAUAAUUUAAGUUUUGAGGGUUUAAAU
This 1088-nucleotide long non-coding RNA is filed under the name Astyanax mexicanus (Mexican tetra). RNAcentral's name for it is "lncRNA (ENSAMXG00005016458.1)". Lineage: Eukaryota; Metazoa; Chordata; Actinopteri; Characiformes; Acestrorhamphidae. The record is from RNAcentral.